AUGACCGUCAGGGGCUGAUUUCACUAAAGGCUUGUAAAACUUUAUUCCGCCAACUCCAAGUCUGUACCUGUCUAUCAGGUGGAGUGGGGGACAACCCCGCACUCGGGGACAGAACGUCCUGUGGACUAUGACCAUGUAAAUCUGUGUUAUUUAUUGAUUUAUUUUUUAAUUUCCCCAGUGCGGCGGUGUUUAAUGACACACGCUGACAGAGAUAGCUAGGGGACUUGUGAAUUGGCAGUGAGUAACUCGGAUUUCUCGGAGAAAGCACAUGUUUACAGAUGUGACGCGGGGAAACGGUAGGUAGAUAAAAAAAAAACUUGCGACAUAUUUCCGAGUUGUGCGUCGAUCGAGACGAAAGAAGGAGAACAGGAAGAAGUCUGAAGACGGAUGUAUCACAAUGAGCCGCGUAUCGGGCACGCAGCGGUUUGUCUUCACUUGUGCUCUGUGAGCCAGCAUGCCAGCAACACGUGCUUUUCGCUAGAACUUUAAUUGGCGGCCGCUACCUUCGUCCAUGUUGGAUUAUUCCGUGCGCUGCCGGACCGGUGUUUGAAACGAGGUUUAUUGGACAAAUAAAGACAUGGGGACUCAGGGAGCAGGACGGAAAAGAAAUCCUAAUAAGGAGAGGAUGACGGCAGAGGAAGAUGCCCUGAAUCUUAUAGCGAGAGAGGCCGAAGCCAGGUUGGCAGCAAAAAGGGCAGCAAGGGCAGAGGCCAGAGAAAUUCGCAUGAAGGAGCUGGAGAGGCAACAGAAAGAGCUCUCAGAUGACGAUGAGCGGAUGUCAGUGGGGAGCCGGGGCAGCGUCAGGGACAAUUGCUCGGUUUCCAGUUUUCUGAGGAGUGCGGCCAGUAGCAGUGGUCUUCCCAGGGACCUGGACGAUGUCACUAUCCCCGACUUCUCUGAUGUUGAGGACAGAGAUUAUAUUGAGAAGGGAUCUCGAGCAGCUUCUGCCUUAACAGCAGCAACCCUCACCUCCCUAGGUGGGACUUCCUCCCGGAGAGGAAGUGGUGAGACGGCCAUAACGGUAGAUAUUGAGGCGGCCUCUAUACGAGAAAUUAAGGAGAUUCAUGAACUGAAGGAUCAAAUUCAAGAUGUGGAGUCCAAGUACAUGCAGAACCUCAAAGAAGUCAAGGACGCAUUGGUGGAGAUAGAGGAGAAGUACCGCAAGGCCAUGGUGUCCAAUGCCCAGCUGGACAAUGAGAAAAACAACUUGAUGUAUCAGGUGGACACGCUGAGGGACUCGCUCAUGGAGCUGGAAGAGCUGCUGUCCGAAUCACGGCGUGAAUACGAAGAUAAAGCUAAGGAUUAUGAAAGAGAAAAGCAUGCCCACAGCAUGCUUCAGUUCCAGUUCAACGAAAUGAAAGAGACGCUGAAGCAAAGUGAAGAGCUGUUAAAUAAACAGGGAAUUGUGUUGGGACCGGAUCUGAACAUCAAUGGGGAAGUGGUUGAGACAGAAACUGAGGGGUCAUCCAGUGGGGACCCUGCCUCUCGACUGGCUCAGGAUUCCCAGACAUCUCCCACAGAAGGAAACAGCAUGUUGGGCAGAGCACGGGAGACUCAGUUAAGAAGUAGUGGAGAGGAAGAGUUGGAUCCCAACCAGCAUCAAGAGACACUUGAAGCUAAAGAGAGCCAAUUGAAUUCUGCUACACCCUGUAGUGUUGCUAACGUUUCUCAUUUGGAAUCAUCUUUGGAAGAUCAGCAGACAUGCUUUCCCACAAUCAGGGACACCAUUAAUGAAAGUGGCCUCGGCAAGGACUCUGACAAUGACAUCCCGAUGAAAUAUGUCAAAAAUGAAGGUGGCAAUGUUGACAUUCAAUGGAUUGAAACAGGACCUGUGAAAGAAGAUGCAGGUUUUGAGGCCAAUGGAACAGGGCCAAAGAUAGAGGGAGGAGAUUUAGGAGAGACAGGUGGAGGAAGUAUGGGAAUUAAAAAAGUUACUACAGGGGAAUCAGAGAUCAUAGUCAGCAACAGUAGUGAUGACAUAAGGGAAACAUCUGGUAACUUUUUGGAAGAGCCUGUAAGAGUUGAAGCAUGUCAAUUGGAUACAGAAUGUACAAUCUCAAGUGCACAGCAAAGUGAGGUCUUAGAGAAUACUGCGAAAAUCAGUUCACCUGAUGAUUCAAAUCUAGUUAGAAUUACUGAGCCUCAACAUGAAUCUGAUAAUGCAGAUAACACAGAGAAUGAAGAGCUAGAGGAACGCUCGAAAAAAUCGCAAUCCCACAAUGAUGUUACCCCUGGCAAAAAGAAGAGGAAGAAAAGGAAAGGCAAACGUAAAAAGCGAGGCACUCAAGAGGACGAAAACCAGAGGGAUGAUGCAAAGCAACAAUGUCUAACAGAGAAAGAAAAAGGCAAAACAGAAGAGGGUUUAGAGUUGGUGACAAGAGAUAAUGGACCAUCUGUAGAGCUUGAGAUUGAUGGUGGUCCCAUUGAGUCUCCACGGGAAUUUCUGAUGGAUCCACCUCAAGAUGAUCAAGAACAACACCAUACUAAAGAAACUGAGGAGGAGCAAGCAGUGGUAUCUGUGGGACUCAAUACAGAGUCCAUCCUCAGUACAACUAACCCUACUGACAAUUCCCAAAUUACCAACUGCAUGGAUGACAAUGAUGCAGAAUGCACCUCAAUUGCAGGCGAUUUUAAAGAUGAUACAGGAGUCCUAAACAAGAACGAUGUCCUUCAGACUGAACUAAAAAUUGGUAGCACAAAGAAUGAAACUGGAUCAAGCACUGAGGGUAGAUUAGAAUGCCCAACUAAUGACCCUCCCAAUGACAAUGAAACUACAACUAGUAAUGCCAACUUUGAGGCUGAAUCAAAGGAUCCAAUCAGUAUAGAUGUAGCCAGUAACAAGACUGAUCCUGCAAACAGUCUUGAAAGCAAUGAUAACAAUGUUGCCCCAUCAAAAACAGCUGGCCACAUUGAGUGUCUCGAGCACUCUCUUGGUACUGAAGAACCUGAAAUAAUUGCAACUAUAAGCUCAGGCAAGGAGGACACUGAGGUAACCGAGACCAUCAAAGAUCUGGAGCCAGAUGUAGAGAUGGAGGAAAAAGCCUUUUCUUGUAAUGUCAUUACUGCAGAUCAUGAUUGUGAUCAUUCAGAGCCAAGCCAAGAAGAGUUAGAAAGCAGGGGAUUGAAUGAAGUUGCAAAAGAAUCUGAACAUUCGCUUCAGCCUGAAGCUAAUGGCGUCAUUGAGUGUCUUGAGCACUCACCUGGCACCGAAGAGCCUGACCAAACUACAACUAUAAACUCAUACAAGGAGGACACUGAGGUAACAGAGAGCAUCACUGAUGAGCAGCCAGAUUUGGAGAUUGAAGAAAAAUCCUUUUCUUAUCAUGUCAUUACUGCUGAUCAUGACUGUGCUCUUUCAGAGUUAAGCUUAGAGGAGGUAGAAAACAAGGAGUUGAACGAAGUUGUCGAGGAAUCUGAAGAGCCGCUUCAGCCUGACUACUGCUCAGGGUCAUCCCCAACAGAUGCAGAGAACUGUGGCAAUAUACCCUCAGAGAAGUGCUGUAGUGGAUCUGUCAAUGAGCAGAACUUUUCAGAGACACCAAUCCAAUGUGAACGUGUCAUGGUUAUAUCUAGUUGCCCAGUAGAAAGCCAGGGUUUGAAUACAGUGGAGUUUGUAGAUCAAAAAGAUGAAUCAAAUGUUGAAGUUUCCAUGGAAAAAGAUGCGAGCAAUAUCACAGAGAUAUCGCUGACAGAAAGAGAAAAUGAAAUAGGUUCCUUUGCAGAAAAGGACCACAGUGAUGGAGGACAGGCUAACUUCAAGGAUCUUGACCAUCAAAAUAGUGAAAAUGUUCAGGAACUUGAGAAAUCUCCUUGCCCAAAGGAAAGCCAAGAAAAUGAAUCUGAUAUAAUCAAGCCCUUGGAUAUCAGUUCUUCUAAAUUCAUCCAACAUGAAAGCGAUGAUGAUGUGGAAGGACAGUCAUUUGACUUUGAUGACAUAGAUUUGGAGGUGGACAUAAAGGCACACGAGGAGGGAGUCGAGAAGAUGUCAGAAAGUGUGUCAGCAAAGGUCAGCAAUGUUAAUUUAGGCCAUUACCAAAUUGAUGUCAUCAAGUCCAAUGAGGACACGGAGGAACAGCAGCAAGAGCUGCCAAAUGAGAGCAAUGAUGAGAAGUGUACUGUUGAUGAGGUUAGCGAGGUAGACACAAGAGGUCAGGAGUUGGACAGUGUGUCUGAAGACCAUCAAAGUUCAAUGGAUAAUGAGGAAGUUGCUAUUAAAAUCGGGGAAGAUGAAAGUAAGGAACAGCAGAAUGCAGUGGAGGAGAUAAGUGUAGCAGUUGAAGCAAAACACAUUUUAGAUGAAAAUGUUGGGAACCCUGGGGAGACGGGGUUUGUCGAAGGUAACGGUGAUGAGAAAGGAAUGCAGGCGUUGCCCAUACGCAUCGAGGAAGGAGACGAGGUAAUUAAGCAAGAAUUGCUGGGUGAACAGCUGGGCGUUCAGAAUAAAGAGGGCCAAGUGGGUGGCAACACGGAGCCAUUACCCUCUAAGAAAGACUUAAAAAAGAAUGGCAAGAAAGGCAAAGGAAAGGGCAAAGAGGACUGUAAGAUGUCCUAGUCUAUAGUUGACAAGGUUUGAUCUGUCCUCACUCUUUGAUGAGCUCUCGCUUUUGUGCAAAAAUAUUCAAAUAUAAAGUAUUUCAUAACUGUUAAUUUUAGUCAUUCCAAAUGUAUUGUAAGUAUAUAUUGUAGUGUUGUAGUGAGUAAAAACUCUGAAAACAUCAAAUUCCAUUGUGGUUGAAAUGGCAGAAUUUGUGGAGAGAUGUGAAUGAGAGUACUUUUCAAAGUUGGUUGCUGGACCAAUGAGAUAAACCUGCACUGGUAUUGUCAGAGGACAUGCUGUAUUUAUUUUCAUAUGAAUGCACAUUUAUCUUGCUGCUUGUAAUGUUGUACUGUCCCACUGGUAAUUCACUAUUAUUGUCUUGCUCUACAAAAGCAUUGCAAAAGUUUCUCGUCUCAUAUACAUUAUACAAUGAUUUCUGGAGGAUAUUCAUUUAUUUAACCAUUUAUUUGGAUUUAUUGUUUUAGUUAAGGUUAGAUGGCAUAUAAGUGAAGGUAAAGGAUAACAGAACUUAAUGAGAAAAGAUCUGAAUCUGACAAUUCAGCUGCCAUAUUGGUGUUAUGCUCAUGGUGAAAAAGAGUGUGUCUUCUAAAACCCGACUUGUUUGUAAUUAUUGAUUUGACUCAUUGAUUCAAAUAAGAGGGUAGAGUACAAUGGGGACUGCAAAUUGUUGUCUGAUAUUAAGUCUUUAUCUUAUUGCACUAUUACCCAAUCUAAAUGUUUAUCCACAUGCAUUUUCUGCAAAGAAACUACUUGUAUGGCAUGGCAAUUAUUAAAAUGUCUCAUCUCGUCUAGAAAUGUUGCAUUAAAUUUCUGUACCCUAGAUUAAUCUACGUUGAUUAAUUUUCCAUUCACUUCAGCACAUAUAAACGUAAGGGUACAUGUCUCCUCGUUGUCUCAUUGUGAGGCGUGAAUGUGGCCAUAGAGUGUGUGUGCCCUUGCACUGAUAUCCUCUCCACAGUUUCUGCAUGCUAACCCUCCCUUCAUACCACACCCCAUCACUUCUUUCCCGAUGCCUGCUCUGUUGCAUGCAUCAAGUGACCUCAAAAGGCCUCCUACCCUGACCCAGUUCCCCUCCCUCCAUCUCCUUGGCUCCUCCUUCCUCUGAGAUCCGUCUGAGGAAACUGGUGGACGAGCGUGAAAAAAUGAUAGAACAGGUGAAAAAACUUAAAGCCCAACUUGAGCAGAAGACACAGAAAAAUGGCACAGCGGGUGGCUCAAGCCCAGAUGGAG
RNA transcript from Lampris incognitus (smalleye Pacific opah), 5788 nucleotides. It is a transcript of the gene named leucine rich repeat (in FLII) interacting protein 1a, with no coding region annotated. The transcript has 13 exons. The record is from RefSeq and is a predicted model, not a curated record. NCBI's taxonomy places the organism in Eukaryota, Metazoa, Chordata, Actinopteri, Lampriformes, Lampridae.